AGCGAACGCUGGCGGCAGGCCUAAUACAUGCAAGUCGAACGGCUCUUCGGAGCAGUGGCGGACGGGUGAGUUACACGUGGGAACGUGCCCUUUGGUACGGAACAACUGAGGGAAACUUCAGCUAAUACCGUAUGUGCCCCCAUUCUUAGCGGGAUGGGUGGGAAAGAUUUAUCGCCAUUGGAGCGGCCCGCGUUGGAUUAGCUAGUUGGUGGGGUAAAGGCCCACCAAGGCUACGAUCAGUAGCUGGUCUGAGAGGAUGAUCAGCCACACUGGGACUGAGACACGGCCCAGACUACUACGGGAGGCAGCAGUUAGGAAUCGUGGACAAUGGGCGCAAGCCUGAUCCAGCCAUGCCGCGUGAGUGAUGAAGGCCUUAGGGUUGUAAAGCUCUUUCAGCGGGGAAGAUAAUGACGGAACCCGCAGAAGAAGCCCCGGCUAACUUCGUGCCAGCCGCCGCAGUAA
Molecule: ribosomal RNA, 462 nt
Filed under: uncultured bacterium
Lineage: Bacteria
Description: partial 16S ribosomal RNA
Rfam family: Bacterial small subunit ribosomal RNA
Source: RNAcentral